CCUACGGGAGGCUGCAGUGGGGAAUAUUGGACAAUGGGCGAAAGCCUGAUCCAGCCAUGCCGCGUGUGUGAAGAAGGCCUUCGGGUUGUAAAGCACUUUCAGUGGGGAAGAAAGCCUUGGGGCUAAUACCCUCGAGGAAGGACAUCACCCACAGAAGAAGCACCGGCUAACUCCGUGCCAGCAGCCGCGGUAAUACGGAGGGUGCGAGCGUUAAUCGGAAUUACUGGGCGUAAAGCGCGCGUAGGCGGUCUGAUAAGCCGGUUGUGAAAGCCCCGGGCUCAACCUGGGAACGGCAUCCGGAACUGUCAGGCUAGAGUGCAGGAGAGGAAGGUAGAAUUCCCGGUGUAGCGGUGAAAUGCGUAGAGAUCGGGAGGAAUACCAGUGGCGAAGGCGGCCUUCUGGACUGACACUGACGCUGAGGUGCGAAAGCGUGGGUAGCAAACAGGAUUAGAUCCUAGUAGUC
Molecule: ribosomal RNA, 463 nt
Filed under: Vreelandella stevensii
Lineage: Bacteria; Pseudomonadati; Pseudomonadota; Gammaproteobacteria; Oceanospirillales; Halomonadaceae
Description: partial 16S ribosomal RNA
Rfam family: Bacterial small subunit ribosomal RNA
Source: RNAcentral